Long non-coding RNA from Oryzias melastigma (Indian medaka), 378 nucleotides. RefSeq lists it as uncharacterized. NCBI's taxonomy places the organism in Eukaryota, Metazoa, Chordata, Actinopteri, Beloniformes, Adrianichthyidae. The transcript has 3 exons. The record is from RefSeq and is a predicted model, not a curated record.
CCAAUUUCUAGGCAAUAGGCAAUGAUUGAAAUAGCCAGCAGGUGCGCAGAAAAAUUGCCUUCAUUUGACCUACAAAGGAACGUGGUGCCAUCAUCAAAACGCUCAUAUACUUUGGCCACAGUGUUUGAGCGCUCAGGGUUGUCAAAAUGAUUUCCACAGUCUGCUACUGCGAGACAGAUCUGCAAGCCACACGCUCGGGUUGUCCUUGCCAACAAGCUGUGUGUGGAGCAGUGCCACUUUCAUCAGAAACUCAGCUUUGGGAAGAAGUUUUGAAUCAAGUUUUCCAACACAAGAGGAAUAACAUGAUUGCUGCAGCAGACAUUGGGUCGAAAAUGUUUCGUCUAGUGUCACUGUCAAUAAAAUCCUGAGAGCUUCUGA